This 285-nucleotide small nuclear RNA is filed under the name Chinchilla lanigera (long-tailed chinchilla). RNAcentral's name for it is "7SK RNA (ENSCLAG00000021857.1)". It matches the Rfam family "7SK RNA". Rfam says of the family: 7SK was discovered as an abundant small nuclear RNA in the mid-70s but a possible function has only recently been suggested. Two independent studies have found that 7SK RNA binds the CDK9/cyclin T complex (known as elongation factor P-TEFb). The record is from RNAcentral. Lineage: Eukaryota; Metazoa; Chordata; Mammalia; Rodentia; Chinchillidae.
GGAUGUGAGGGUGAUCUGGCCGCCACAUCUGUCACCCCAGUGAUGGCCAGGGUUGGCUUCGCAGAUCUGGCUGGCUGCGCAGUGUCCCUUUUUCCUCCCUCACCUCUCUAUGUGCAUCCCUCCCAGAGCUGCAUGCUGUCUAGAACAGGACAACUACCCCCAUAGAGGAGGACCAGACCGUGUCCUCGGUAAAGGGCACACGGACAGCUGUGCUCCCUGCUGAAACCUCUAAGCAAGCUCUCAGAAAGGCAGGUUGGGGUCCUCUGGGGCUCAAGCUCAGGGUGA